Molecule: long non-coding RNA, 1101 nt
Organism: Phycodurus eques (leafy seadragon)
Lineage: Eukaryota; Metazoa; Chordata; Actinopteri; Syngnathiformes; Syngnathidae
Exons: 3
Source: RefSeq, a predicted model, not a curated record
CCCAAUGGAACUCCUUGCCUUGGGCAUUACUGUGCUUCCAUCUCGGGAUAAUGACAGCACAUAGCACUUAUCAAUACAAGAAAUGCUGAAAAAGGUUCAGGAAAGGUGGCAUAAAGGUCAGAAGAUUAGAUUUUCCGAAGAGGCCCAUCGACUUCCACCCAGUGCCCUUGAAGACCCUGGAGUGGUUGCUGUGAUACCAUCUAAGAAGACCCCAGGUCCACCAUGAAUUCCACGUCCUGCAGUUUGCCUCCUAGGAGAAGUUUAAAGCCCAUCCACUCUGAUCUGCACUGUUUAAACUAACAACAUGGUUGCAAGAGGAGCUAGUUUCCAAAACAGCCAGUGAUGCCAACUUCGCGAUUUGUUCACUCAAUUUAGUGAAUUGGUUUGACUUUGUUUUCCAUACAACAAGAAAAAGAGCCUAAUGGAUGGCAACCACAAUCAUCCUCAACAUUUCCAAAGACAUGGUGCCCAUUCAUACAUUGCUGCUCGACCUUAGAAAAGGUCAUAUUCAAAUAUUGAAAAUGUUAAUUUAGUGAGGAUCAUUUUACAUACAUGUUUUGACAAGAGGGAUAUUUUACCAAGAGGAUAAACUUAUUUAUACAUUAUCUGCCCCCACCCAAAAAAAUAAAGACAAUUCCUGUGGAAGUUGAUUCAUGUUAAUGUUCGGGAAAAAGACUUGCUUGAAGAAAUUGAGAGAAAAAUAAAUGCCAGUAAAUACAAAUGAAUAAAGGGUGGAAAGAAUUAAGCAAAACCAGUUCUGAAUAAUGUCAUCAUAUUUGAGUUUUUUAUUAGCGAUUAAAAUCCUAAAUCGGAUUUUCGUGAAAGAAAUUGGGAGAUUUUAUUUUCUAAGGCCACAUGGCCUACCCCUAUCCUGUACCUUUACAUCCUACCUAGAUAAAGGCAGCGUGUGUUAAGCCCAAUUCUGUGAUUUCCCGGGUGCAUUGAACACUAUUUUUGCAACAUUGUGAAUUUGUGUGGACAUUGACAAAUCUCAUUUGCGCCUCGGUACUCACAAGUACGUGCGCGGCUCUAAAGAGAUAGCUGAAUGGAUAGUAGAGCAGGUUGAUGAAGGAGGCCGCAUAGAGAUCUGCGUAGCGCAUC